RNAcentral lists this ribosomal RNA (292 nucleotides) under uncultured bacterium. RNAcentral's name for it is "partial 16S ribosomal RNA". It matches the Rfam family "Bacterial small subunit ribosomal RNA", at positions 505 to 796 of the family's 1533-position model. The record is from RNAcentral.
GUGCCAGCCGCCGCGGUAAAACGUAGGUGGCGAGCGUUAUCCGGAUUCACUGGGCGUAAAGCGCGUUCAGGCGGCUCGACAAGUCGGGCAUGAAAUCUCUCGGCUCAACCGAGAGAGGCUGUUCGAUACUGUAGGGCUUGAGGGCAGUAGAGGGUGGUGGAAUUCCGGGUGUAGUGGUGAAAUGCGUAGAUAUCCGGAGGAACACCAGUGGCGAAGGCGGCCACCUGGACUGUACCUGACGCUCAAACGCGAAAGCUAGGGGAGCGAACGGGAUUAGAAACCCGCGUAGUCC